UCCAGGGUAUAGCCUAGUGGACAUGGCACUUGCCCGGUAAGCAGAAAUUUGUGGGUUCGAUUCCCGCCCCUGGAU
This 75-nucleotide transfer RNA is filed under the name Cordylochernes scorpioides. RNAcentral's name for it is "tRNA-Thr". It matches the Rfam family "tRNA". Rfam says of the family: Transfer RNA (tRNA) molecules are approximately 80 nucleotides in length. Lineage: Eukaryota; Metazoa; Arthropoda; Arachnida; Pseudoscorpiones; Chernetidae. The record is from RNAcentral.